Molecule: long non-coding RNA, 6211 nt
Organism: Sturnus vulgaris (Common starling)
Lineage: Eukaryota; Metazoa; Chordata; Aves; Passeriformes; Sturnidae
Source: RefSeq, a predicted model, not a curated record
UCUCUUCAGUGACAGACAGGGUGGUGGCAGCGGCACCCGGCUGCAGCGGAGGGCCAGGUUUUGUCACUCGUGUAGGCCCCAAAAUACUCCCGCCGGAUAGCUGGUACAGCGGGAGAGACAUGUGCGGUGUCCUUCAUAAGUAACACGUGGCUUGUGUCCCGCCUAACGGGGUGGUAAUGAAGGCCGGAGCUAGGCCGAUUAAGAAAAGAAAAAGUAAAAAGCAGGAAGAAGGAGCCAGUUGAUGCAGCUGCCAAAACAAGGCGAGGCCAGGAGUUGGGGCCUGUGCCGCGAUGAACAUGGCAAGGUCCCUGACAGGAAAAAGGAAGCUCGUUUGGCAGAGCAGUGCUGGUGGAGGGACAAAGGUCUCAGCUCAGUCACGUCGGUUGUCAGAAGCCACAUGGGGAUCUGGACUCCUCUGAGGUGAUGUUUAAGCUUCCACUGAUCUGAUUAACCGUGGCUUUGCUUGCUUGUGGUAUAGUUUAGGAAAGUGGAGUAUAUUCUGCAGUUUCCUGCCGUACAACCCAACACGGUGGUCAGUGCUUCAGAGACAUGUGGUGAGGCAGAGCAAGGAUUCCUCCUGGGCUGGGUGUUCUCCUGCCCAUCUUCUCAGAGAACCAUUGGGUGAACAAACAGCAAGUAUCCGCUCCGUGGGCUAGGCUGGUGAGACACGAUGCAUACCGUUGGUCUGCACUGCCUGUAAGUUAAACAAAUCCAUUCUAAAGCUCAAGAAGUGUAAAAUACAUGAGCUAAUAUGCAGAUCUUGAGGUAGAAAGGUGAAAUGAAUCCUCUGGUUGGUAACCCAGAGGCUGCCACAGGACUUCACAGGACUUUAAAUAAGUGAUUUGUUCUCUGCCACUGUAUGCUUUUGCUUCUCAUGGGCUUUUUUGAGGUUUAACACUGUAAUAUACUUGUAUUAUAGUGAGAUGACUUUAUGUAUGCAGUUAAAAUGGUUUUGUUCUUAUCUGUCCUAUAGAACUGGAUUUGGGAUUGAUUGGCAUAGUAGUAAGACUUGGAGGAAUGUGAGGCACUGAGUGUACUAUGUGAAGGAUGUAGGAGAAACAAAGUGUACCAAGGCUACAAGUGCCUUGUGGUACAUACAUGAAAAAUGAGAAGGAAAACCAAGGUGAAUUAUUAGAAAGGCGAAAGGAGUACUGAGGGGACAAGGUCAUGAAAGCCCAGUGGAUAAAAUUUCAAGGUGAAUAUGACUAGUGAGCUCCAAGGGUGAAUUAAAAACAACAACCACCAAAGAAAAAAAAACAAGUGGUAAAUGAACUGGAAAAGAUGGAAACUAAAAACAAAAUUCCAGAUUAGUAAUCUCUUUGUGGUAAGGGCAGAAGGAAGUGGAUUAAAACCACCAAGUUUUAAAUUCAGAGCAUGAAGACAGAUUUUAAAUGUUGGUUUAAUGAAAGUUUUUCCUUCAGUUAUAGGUAUAUGAGGUAUGUCAAAAAUACUAGGCUUAGGCAUUACUUUAGCAUGCUUAGAAAUGAGAUUAAUUCAGCUGAUUACCUUGGACUUGCAGCAUUGUUUAACUGGGCUAAAUGAGAAGAGAGUCAAGGCUAUUUUCAAAAACUUGAGAAAUGCUAACAAUGGUAUUCUGCCAGGUAGAAACUGAAGAGUUAAAGAUUUGCUUCUUCUGCAAACACAAUGGAGAUGAAAGUCACAGACUCCAAACUCAAUCAUCCAACCAUGAAACAACUAAGAAAAAGACCAAGGCACAAAUAUGGUGCCUGGCUAAAAUCUAAUGAUAGUUAUUAAUUUACAAGCUAAUUUGUCUUCAAAAGUCUUCUGUUCUUUCCCUCUCUUUUCCAUAUGGGAUGCAAUUAAAGCUCUCAGUUGUCACAUUUGCUAAUGUGCUAAGCUACUUCAGUUGUCUUGACAUCAUACUGUUUUACAGCAUGGUCAACAGAAAUACCAAGUUCAACAAAAUCCACGUUUUGGUGUAUGAAGCAUUUUGCCUUAUUGCAGCACUAGGCCAAUGACACAAAACUUAAUGAAGGUUGUUUUACAGUGACAACACUGUAUUGAGGAGCAGUGGUGGUAAGGAAACUCAGGAAUACAAUGAGUAUUUAUAAUACAAUAGUGUCUGCACCAUGCUAGAAAUGUUUUCCAAGCAUAUGAGACUCUAUUCAUUGCCAAAGAGCUUGUUCCUUAAAAGACAGUGUAAGGACAAAGCACAACAAAAAGCAACAUAUGGUAUACCAAGUGAAAUGAUCAAUAUGUUGGUUGCCAGAACAGAGGAGGGACUUCCUUCUCUUUCUUUUCAGCUAGUUACUCUUGGUCCCUAAAGUAGCCUUUCUAAGAUAGCUAAUUGCUUGUCUGUGUCAUUGAAUGUUGGAAAAGACCUUUCCUGGUGACUAGGUAAUGAUGAGACAUACUGCUUUGCAGAGAAUGUAGUGAAAAGUCUUUGAAAUUAAAUACUAGUCAUGAUGAAGAUGUUGUGGGAUAAACUUAGUGCAAGGUCAUAGGUUUUUAUCACCAGUUAGAUAUGGAUCUGAUAUGUUUAUUAGAAAGGGGAAAAAAAAGGUUGGUCAAUGAAUAACUUUUCUGGUUUUAUUAAGUAGUAAUAAUAGCUGCAUUUAUACCAUGCUUUCAAUGGCUUGUGUACUGCAGUGCUGAGAUUAUAUAAGCAACCAAAAAAGACUCUUUGAAGCUGGGGGAAGAAGAAAGGGAAUGCAGAGUAACAAGAUUGUAGAAGGUUACAAAGUCCGUUUAGAAGUAAAGUUUAAAUAAAAAGUAAGUAAUCUCAUGUUGAGAUAGUUUUACUGUGAAUGGGAAAAGUGCUUGAACUCCAGGCUAAGGUUUUCAUUGCUGCCAGAAGGCUUCUUGGAAGCUAGAUGUGCUGCUGAUAGCAUCAGGCAUCAGUGACACAGGUGCAUGUCCACAACAGCAUCAUAAUUAAAAGUCAGAACUUGGGGGCUUGUAGCAUUUGCUCUCCUCCACCCAGACCACUCCACCAUGUUCUUCAGCUUGACUGCUACUAUUCUGCUUAGACCAUUCUUCAAUGGUCUCAACAGUGCCAUUUUUCAAGCUUGCUUUUCAUACUGGAAAGUGAACUGUAACAGGUUUGCAGAUUUUCCAAGUUAAAGGAGAGAACUGUUUGUCUGAGUUGGAUUCUCUGUUAAACUCACUUCCUUUCUAAUCAGGACAAAGUGUACAGAGUACAUCCACAAGGCUAUGCAAGUGCUCUUUUAUUGAAUGCACGCUUUUUUCCUGAGGUACUCAAAGGGUUAGCAUCGUUUAUUUAUCUCGCAGCUACUCCCCUGGCCCCUGUUUCUGCAAAGCAAGGAAAGGGUCACCUAGUAGAGGUGAUCUGGAAGGUGUGGGGUUAUUGCCUGUUGGGACUAGUGCCAGCCAUUACAGAGAAGCACAUGACCAAACACAGGGUCCCCUCAAAUCACUUGGGCUCCAUAACUGAAGGAGUCUCAGAACUUUUCAAGAUCCAGGUUUUGAUAUGCCAAGAACUUGGUGUUUUCCACAGUAUGACGUGGCAAAGGGCGCUUGGGACAACAGAGAAUUUGGCUUAGAGCCCUGAAAAUAAUCUGCAGUACCCUGUGCCAUCUCUCAUUCUGCUUAGUGCUUGUUGAUGCCAUUGUAGAGUUUCCCUAAAAGUUUUUGCUGAAAUUAAAGUAAUAGAAUAAGUUGGUUGUUUGUCACUGAAUAUCAUAAUGGUCUAAUGUUUAAAAAAAAACCCCUUUCAUUAUAAUCUGAGUUUAUAAAUGUUGGACUAAAUUAUAAGGAGUAUUCUCAAUUACUCUAUGUAAACUUGUGUUUAAUACUGUCUAAUAUUAUGAGAUUCCUCCAGACUGCUUAACUAAAAUUGCUUUUGCUGUCCUUGAAUCUAUCUGAAACUAUAUGCAUUUUCAUAUCUGGGAAUAUAGCCUAUUUUUAUUACACCAAAAAUACAGUUAGGGUUGAUCUGGAGAGAUUUAUACAUAUUAAAAUUUUUGUCUACUGUAAUAAUUUUAUUCAUGUUUAAGGAAAAUUAAUUAUGCUAGUGAAAUACAGAACAAUGGGGUCUUUUUCUUUCUAGCUGAAAAUUCUGCUUCCAGAUGUCUGUAUCUGUAAAGUUAUGGAAAUGCAGCACAGCUUAGAAAAUGCUCAAGACCAACUCAUUCCAGUUUUGUCCUCAUUUUAAACUUUGUACCAUGGAAAGUUCAAAAGUUUUUUUCACAUUGUUUGUGAGAUUUCUCCAGAGGGAGUAUUCCUGGCUCUGGUUAGAAAAGAACUCCCUGUCUUGCUAAAGACUGACAAUUAUGUACAUUUUUGGCCUCUAACUUAAGCAAGCCAGCAGGCCCUCAGGGUGCUUGAAGUCCAGUUAUGAACAGAAAAUUACUUUUAAAGAACAUUUUUAAAACCCAUUUGAAAUUCAUGCACUGAUACAGCAAUAAGCAGUUUUGGGGGCAAAAAAUGAGAGAUUCCUGUUUAAUCUGCAUGUAGGUCAAAUUUAUCUGAACUGCUCCAGAACCUUUUCUUGAUUUUGGUGCAGACAAGUCUUCCAGAGUGAGAACAGAGGACUCCAACAUAAAGAAAGCCCGGUGCUUCAUUGCACCACAAUCACAAAAGGACCUGUUCAUUCUGCAUCUGAUAUGUGCUUCCUGCCCCUCUGUCAUCAUGAUUCAGCAUGGUGACAUGCUGAAAGAUCAUUAAGGUGGAAACAAUGCCGAGCAGUGUUAGGAUGAUGUGACCUGCCACCAUUAUUUUGUGUGUACCUGAUUUAUUGCACAUCAUAUUUUCUCUUUCCUUGUCUUUCGUCUGCCAGGCACGUAGUUCUUUCUUCUGCCAGUGCCUGGUCUUGUACUUGGAGAAGAGAACAGGGAUGCCCUGGGGUGUAGGCAAGGACAGUUUGCCCUCUGCCCCUUGGUUUGGGAAGCUUGAGAAUACCGCAGCUCAUGCCUCGCAAUAUAUUGUGCUAUUUAAUGAGUUACAAAGUCUCCACCUUUUUUUUUUUUUUUUUUUCGGAUUACCUAGGAAUAAUUACUCAGAGCUCAAGAGAGGAACUCAAGAACUGUGUUCCUUGAAAUUGCGAAGACAAAUUUGUUAAAAACCUGGACAUUUUAUCUUUGGGUGGAGAUUCAGUUUGCUUUCCCUUUCUCCAGAUGGCUAGCACAAUUUCUGAUACUCCUAAACUCUUUUUCUUAUGGAGAUGGUUGUACAAGUAGGGGAGAUUCCAAGAAAGCAGUGAGCUUAAAACAUUUGCUGCUAUGAGACCUGUCUCAGUAAUUUAAGAGGGGAAGGAAAAGAUAAUAGUGAGUCAAGUUUUGAGCUGAUAAGACUGACUAAGUGGUAUUCCUCAAAAACACUCAGUGGUUUGAUUUUUGUUCUUUUUUUGAUGCGGCAGUUUCUUGAGAAGAAUGAGGACAGGCUUCAUUUUUGUUUGUUUUUUUGAGUGAACAAUGGUGUCCUCCCUCUUUUCUUGAACAAUGGGGACACAAUAUUAUAGCUCGUGUUUUGUUAAAACUAUCAAAGUAGCAGAUCUGUCCCAAAGAGCUCACCUUUGUCAGGGCUGGCUACAGACACACACACAGACACUGUGAGCCUGUACCCCAGAGAGCCUCUGCAAUCCAGGUGGACUCAGUACCAUGUUUUCUGUCACUACCCAUUCUUCCUUCUGCCAGGACAGUACCUGUGUUCCCAUGCCCUCCUCUGAUGCAUAACGCUAUCCAAUGUCCUGUUGCUCUCCUGCCAUUGCACCCUUCACUGUCUACCCCAUCCCAAAGGCUUUGUGAUGUUUAUUCUUGCAUUUCCGUUCUUCCCAAAGACACAGGAUUUUACUCCAUGCUCUUCUGUUUGCUUUCAGUGCUGUUCUCGUGCCCUUCAACGCUCUCUUCAGUUGUGGUUCAUUUAAGACACAGUGUUGAGUUGCUGCCACCAGAAGGGGUGGUUCUGCUCCCUCCAGAGCUGUUCUCCUUGGCAUCACUCUUGUCAGGCCCUUUGUGAGCAAAAUCAUCCUCACAUAUCCUAGCCUGCUGCAAUGAAUCGUCUACUGCAAUCUCAAAGGCCACAAUGGAAAGAGUUUCUUCAUGUAAACAAGCCUGUUCUACACAAGAGAAGUAGUCACUCCAAUGUUGGUGUAAUCCCUCUGAGCAGCUUCUCAAGACACCCUAAGGCUGUACUCUUGAAGUCGUGCACCCAUAGCUGAGAUGUGUACAGUGGUUUUAAGAAUAUUUUGUUAAUGUUUUGCUAAGUAUAGAAAUACAUUGUUCAUAUAUUG